This 482-nucleotide ribosomal RNA is filed under the name uncultured bacterium. RNAcentral describes it as "partial 16S ribosomal RNA". It matches the Rfam family "Bacterial small subunit ribosomal RNA", at positions 28 to 523 of the family's 1533-position model. The record is from RNAcentral.
AGUGAACGUUGGCGGCGUGGAUUAGGCAUGCAAGUCGAGCGAGAACCGUAGCAAUACGGGGACAGCGGCGAAAGGGACAGUAAUGUGUAGGUACCUACCUCCGGGUUCGGGAUAGCUGCGGGAAACUGUAGGUAAUACCGAAUAACGUCUCCGGACCAAAGGUGUGAUUCCACCUGGAGAGGGGCCUGCAUCCUAUUAGCUUGUUGGCGGGGUAACGGCCCACCAAGGCGACGAUGGGUAGCGGGUGUGAGAGCACGACCCGCGUCAUGGGGACUGAGACACUGCCCAGACACCUACGGGUGGCUGCAGUCGCGGAUCUUCGGCAAUGGGCGCAAGCCUGACCGAGCGACGCCGCGUGCGGGAUGAAGGCCUUCGGGUUGUAAACCGCUGUCGUAGAGGAGGAAGUGCAGGGGGGUUCUCCCCUCUGUUUGACCUAUUCUAGGAGGAAGUACGGGCUAAGUUCGUGCCAGCCGCCGCCGUAA